GCUAAUAUUAGAUAGAUAAAAGAUACUGGAAUGUUCUUUUAUCCAAAGCUUUUGCACCUGAGGAUGGGCCUGCGUCCGAUUAGGUUGUUGGUGGGGUAAUGGCCCACCAAGCCUAUGAUCGGUACGGGCAGUGGGAGCUGAAGCCCGGAGUUGGGGACUGAGACAAGGCCCCAGGCCCUACGGGGCGCAGCAGGCGCGAAACCUCUGCAAUGCGGGAAACCGUGACAGGGGAAUUCCAAGUGCUCAUGCAUUGCAUGGGCUGUUCUUUGGUCUAAGUAACCAGAGGAGUAAGGGCUGGGCAAGACCGGUGCCAGCCGCCGCGGUAAUACCGGCAGCUCAAGUGGUAGCCGCGAUUAUUGGGCCUAAAGCGUUCGUAGCCGGAUAAGUAAGUCUUUGGUUAAAUCCUGCGACUUAACCGUGGGAAAUCUAGAGAUACUGCUUGUCUUGAGACCGGGAGAGGUUGGAGGUACUUUUAGGGUAGGGGUGAAAUCCUGUAAUCCUAAGGGGACCACCUGUGGCGAAGGCGUCCAACUGGAACGGGUCUGACGGUGAGGGACGAAACCUAGGGGAGCGAGCCGGAUUAGAUACCCGGGUAGUCCUAGGCGUAAAUGAUGCGAGUUAAGUGUGG
Molecule: ribosomal RNA, 628 nt
Filed under: uncultured archaeon
Lineage: Archaea
Description: bacterial SSU rRNA
Rfam family: Archaeal small subunit ribosomal RNA
Source: RNAcentral